CCUGAAAGGCAGGUGCCAGUAGGUGUCACUUCCUGUUGCCACAGUUGAAUGGCAGGUGCCAGUGGGUGUCACUUCCUGUUGCCAGUUGCCGUUUGAGGAUCGAACCCUUACUGCCUGAGAGAGAGAGAGAGAGAAGAACGAGCCAGAAACCCCUUAAACAUGACGUUUUCUGGAGGCUUCUUCUUUCUUCCGCUCAGUGUGACAUGAGCCAGCAGCUUUGAUGACUCUCGAUUGGUUCAGUUUAUUAAGACACUGGGACCCAUCUUCAUGAAAGCAGACCUGCAACCUCAUCAUGAGUCUGAUGUUAGACCUUUCUGAAGCUUUCUACAGAAGAAAUUUGAGACAGAUCUUAGGAAGAUAUAUUGAGGUAAUAUGAGGCCUAUUGUAAAGUUGGUCACGAUGAUUUAAUAAUGCAAACAUGCUUUAUUUCUAUAAUGUACCACUUAAGACAAUCCAAAG
Molecule: long non-coding RNA, 459 nt
Filed under: Astyanax mexicanus (Mexican tetra)
Lineage: Eukaryota; Metazoa; Chordata; Actinopteri; Characiformes; Acestrorhamphidae
Description: lncRNA (ENSAMXG00005018896.1)
Source: RNAcentral